This 1893-nucleotide long non-coding RNA is filed under the name Brachypodium distachyon (stiff brome). RNAcentral describes it as "long non-coding RNA (BDIS_LNC000880)". Lineage: Eukaryota; Viridiplantae; Streptophyta; Magnoliopsida; Poales; Poaceae. The record is from RNAcentral.
GACAUAUUUGAUCGGAUCAUAACAUGUGAUAGAUGCAAAGGGAACUUGGAUUAGAAAUCGAUACAAAAGGCUAUAAUUGAAUUGGAGUUGAAACGGUGAAGUUCUGGCUGUUAACAGAUACAAAAUUCUAUGGAUCAUGGAUACCGUAUAUGGACAUGAAAAGGUUCAAAAAGGGGUUCAGAAUGUAGGGUUGGAUGGAUUAUUGUCAAAACAGAAAGAAUAAUCUAAUUUGGAGCAAUGGAUCAAAAGAAAGGGACUUCGAAAUACAACUAAUCAAUGUUUCAACACAGAUAGCAUGUAACAGUGUUAACAGAUUGCAACUUUGGUUGAGGAUGAACUAGUGUAGAUGAAAUAGAAAUUGUGCAAACAGUGCACUGAUGUGUAGAACAUGAUCUGAUAGAUGAUCUGCAGAAGGUUUGAGACCAAACGGAUCUAUGGAAUAGUCUGCAAGAAUUGGAAAGGUGGAUAAUCCAGAAGCAACAUGUUGUGAAUAGCAACUUCAGAUAAAGAUUAACUACUGAAGAUAAUCCAGACGGGGCAUGAAAACUGAUCUAAUCUGAAGAGCACGACGUGAUCUAAGCAUAGCAGAAGGAAUCGGCUAAAUAGGAUGUACGGUUGAUAAUCUACAAGCUACAGAAGUAGGCUAAUCAAAACAGACUGCAGCUCGAAAAAUAGAACAAGAAAGCUCACCGGAGAAGAUGAAGUUCGCCGGAGUGGAUGAGAGUCGGCGAAACAGAGGUUUCCGAGGCGAGGCUGUGGUGGAUGGUGUUCUAGGCGUCGAUAGGGAUCUAAUGGUGGUGAUGGCUCGGGCUAAUUUGAAGCGAGGCAGUAGGAAUUGCUUGCCGGAGUUCGCGUGAAAUUGGCGACGAAAACUUGAAAUUGGAUGCGGGAUUGACAGCGGCUUCGAUCUCGGUUUCGAGGGAUAGGUUAGGGCUCUCGAGGGCGUCCGAGGGGAGGUUAUAGGACGUAGGGCGCUCGGGAUAAGGCCGGCGUCGGUGGAGGUUUAAACGAGUUGGUUUUGCUUAAAAUUCGGAGGAGAUAGAGUCCGAGUCAGUUUGAUUCUUGUUUGGAUAGAUUCCUUGCCGUGUGGGGCACGAACUAGAGCAGAAAACGCGGAGGAAAACGGUUCGGGUGAUGGAAUCCGUGGUGGAGGCGGCCAUGGAGUCCGACAGGAGCUUGGGCUCAGGUUGGGGGAGGUUGGGCGCGGGGCAGGAGAUGGCUGCGGGCGGCUGGGAUCGGCAGAUGUGUCCAGGGGCGAGCCAGGCGCUGGGCUUGGCGGCGGAGAGCCGGAGAGUAGCAGCGAGCGGCUAGGGGCUGGCGGCCAUGACGCUGCACCCAGGAAGAAGGCACGGGCUUGGCAGCCACGUGAGGAAGAAAGAAGAAAGGAGAGAAAAGAAAAGAGAAAAGAAAAGAAAGAGAGAUGGGCCGUUGGAUGAGAGAUGGAUGACAGAGAUUAGAACUUACCCCUUCGGGGCACUUAAGUGGAGACAGGUUUCAGCGGAAUACGCUUUCACGAAGGGAAAGUGUAGUUCUGAAAAUACAAAAGAAUAAAAGAAAAGGCAUAUAAAAUACUUUUUUGUGUGUAUAAAUCGCCAUAAAUUCAAAUAAAUCAAAUAAAAUACCAAAAAGAUUCAGAAAAAAUCCAAAAAUUCUAAUUACCUGUUUAGAACGCAAUAAAAGUAAUUUCCUCAUGGAAUAAAAUAUUUCAAUAGGUUUUAUAGCACAUGAACCUCAAAUGAAUUCCAAAUAAAUCUAGAAAAAUAUGUCAAAGAUCCAAUAAAUUUCCAAACGGGAUUCGAACACCAAACGAAGCUUAUGUGUACCAAAUUAUAUGUUCUCCAACUUUAUAAUCUGGAGAGUCACAUUAUUCCUUCUCAUUAACAAAUAGGCAUG